RNAcentral lists this long non-coding RNA (257 nucleotides) under Lathyrus oleraceus (garden pea). RNAcentral's name for it is "Pisum sativum (pea) long non-coding RNA (PSAT_LNC017991)". Lineage: Eukaryota; Viridiplantae; Streptophyta; Magnoliopsida; Fabales; Fabaceae. The record is from RNAcentral.
UUCCAUUACCACACAUCUAAUUUACAAUAUUCCUAUCAAUAUUACAAUUCAUAAUUCAAUAAAAAAACAUCCAAUAUACAAUUUUAACCAUAUUUCGACUACAUAACUCAGUCCAUAAUAGACUUCAAAUUGCAUAUCCUUGUUUUUUAAACAACAUAGUUUACAUAACUCAACAUAAAAAAUGUAAUAAAUCUUUAUUGAGAGAAAGUAAUGAAUGCCCUUUUUUUACCAACGCCACACCAAGACCAUUCAAUUUG